RNAcentral lists this ribosomal RNA (253 nucleotides) under uncultured bacterium. RNAcentral describes it as "partial 16S ribosomal RNA". It matches the Rfam family "Bacterial small subunit ribosomal RNA", at positions 524 to 776 of the family's 1533-position model. The record is from RNAcentral.
UACGUAGGGCGCAAGCGUUGUCCGGAAUUAUUGGGCGUAAAGAGCUCGUAGGUGGCUUGUCGCGUCUGCCGUGAAAGCCCAUGGCUUAACUGUGGGUCUGCGGUCGAUACGGGCAGACUAGAGUUCGGUAGGGGAGUCUGGAAUUCCUGGUGUAGCGGUGAAAUGCGCAGAUAUCGGGAGGAACACCAGUGGCGAAGGCGGUUGCCUGGGGCUUUGCUGACGCUGAGGCGCGAAAGCGUGGGGAGCGAUCCGG